This 515-nucleotide ribosomal RNA is filed under the name uncultured bacterium. RNAcentral describes it as "bacterial SSU rRNA". It matches the Rfam family "Bacterial small subunit ribosomal RNA", at positions 9 to 523 of the family's 1533-position model. The record is from RNAcentral.
GAGUGAUCGUGGCUCAGGACGAACGCUGGCGGCGCGCCUAACACAUGCAAGUCGAACGGAACCUGACGGUCUGAAGUUUUCGGAUGGACGACGGUUUGGUUUAGUGGCGAACGGGUGAGUAACACGUGAGGAACCUGCCCUUCAGUGGGGGACAACAGUUGGAAACGGCUGCUAAUACCGCAUAAGACCACGGUACCGCAUGGUACAGUGAUCAAAGGAUUUAUUCGCUGAAGGAUGGCCUCGCGUCCGAUUAGGUAGUUGGUGAGGUAACGGCCCACCAAGCCGACGAUCGGUAGCCGGACUGAGAGGUUGAUCGGCCACAUUGGGACUGAGACACGGCCCAGACUCCUACGGGAGGCAGCAGUGGGGAAUAUUGCACAAUGGAGGAAACUCUGAUGCAGCGACGCCGCGUGAGGGAAGAAGGUCUUCGGGUUGUAAACCUCUGUCUUUGGGGACGAUAAUGACGGUACCCGAGGAGGAAGCCACGGCUAACUACGUGCCAGCAGCCGCGGUAA